CCUUUUGAUACAGAAAGUUCAGCUCAUUUAUAACUAGAAAAGGUUGUUCAUAACUGAAACAAUAAAAUGAUGGAAAAAAUUGUAAUUUGCCUUGUGUCAUUCGUACUGCUUGGGUUACAUCAAGUUACCGCUCAGGUACGCUCCCGGGCUGAAGUUUUUAACGAUGUGAGCGAAUAUCUUACUAUUAUAACUAACGACAUCUUCACGUUUAAUCCAACAUGGCCAGAUGAACUGAAAACCGAUCUGGAACAAAUUGUAGCAGGUUUAAGCGCAUGGAAAGAUUCUGCUACCAUGGAUUCUGAUCUUUCUCAACCAAAUUUUUUACUGCACCGCUAAAUUUGUAAUGCGCUAGCAACAGAGAUAAAGUGCAAUAUUCAUGUUAAAA
Molecule: long non-coding RNA, 385 nt
Organism: Topomyia yanbarensis
Lineage: Eukaryota; Metazoa; Arthropoda; Insecta; Diptera; Culicidae
Exons: 2
Source: RefSeq, a predicted model, not a curated record